GCAUCGUUGGGCCGCCAUCGGUCAUCGGAGCCUAUAGUUGUCAUCGUCCGAUCGUCGGGUACCGCCCUUUCGAUUGUGGACGAUGUUGGCCAGAGAGGAGGAUCUCCCUUGCAGCCUUGCCUCAGGAAUAAGGGGACAAAGAGUCCCCUGUUUCGUUGAAGAAAAGAGAAGAGUCCUCUCUCCUCUGUUUUACCGUGGA
RNAcentral lists this long non-coding RNA (199 nucleotides) under Elaeis guineensis (African oil palm). Its description in RNAcentral is "long non-coding RNA (EGUI_LNC059845)". The record is from RNAcentral. Lineage: Eukaryota; Viridiplantae; Streptophyta; Magnoliopsida; Arecales; Arecaceae.